GAGAAAAAGCAAGCGGUAAACAUUACUUAAUACAUAGGUAAUUAAUAGAUAAGGUUAAUUUUGGUAAAUACAUCUAACGGCAUAUAAAAUAAAAUUAAUAAAAAUAAAAGUCAUAAAAACGUUAUAUAUUUAGGAUGGAAGGGAGUAUUUCUCAAUGGCAUCAUAUUGUAGAGGUGGGAAUAAUUUUUAAAUGUCAUUUAUCUAUCUAAUUUUCGAGACUUAAUUAAAAUGAGUUGGAAAUUAAUCUAGUCUUCGUUCUAGAUUUGAAUCGAGCUACAUUUGUGAGAUGUGUUUUUUAAAAAUAUGUAAAGUGUAGUUUAGAAUUGAAAAUAUGUGUGCUCA
RNAcentral lists this long non-coding RNA (342 nucleotides) under Salvia miltiorrhiza (redroot sage). RNAcentral describes it as "long non-coding RNA (SMIL_LNC013610)". Lineage: Eukaryota; Viridiplantae; Streptophyta; Magnoliopsida; Lamiales; Lamiaceae. The record is from RNAcentral.